GUAGUGAAAAAGGUAAACACAUUCAGCUGCUAAUCGAAAGGUUGGUGGUUUGAGUCCACCC
This 61-nucleotide transfer RNA is filed under the name Loxodonta africana (African savanna elephant). It matches the Rfam family "tRNA", at positions 7 to 64 of the family's 71-position model. Rfam says of the family: Transfer RNA (tRNA) molecules are approximately 80 nucleotides in length. Lineage: Eukaryota; Metazoa; Chordata; Mammalia; Proboscidea; Elephantidae. The record is from Rfam by way of RNAcentral.